CAGUCGCCGCGGUAAUACGAAGGGGGCUAGCGUUGCUCGGAAUGACUGGGCGUAAAGGGCGCGUAGGCGGCGAUCAAAGUCAGGCGUGAAAUUCCUGGGCUCAACCUGGGGGCUGCGUUUGAUACUUGAUUGCUAGAGUGGGGAAGAGGGUCGUGGAAUUCCCAGUGUAGAGGUGAAAUUCGUAGAUAUUCGGAAGAACACCAGUGGCGAAGGCGGCUUACUGGCUCAUUCUAGACGCUGAGGUGCGAAAGCGUGGGGAGCAAACAGGAUUAGAUACCCCCGUAGUCCCUGUCUCUUAUAA
Molecule: ribosomal RNA, 301 nt
Filed under: uncultured bacterium
Lineage: Bacteria
Description: partial 16S ribosomal RNA
Rfam family: Bacterial small subunit ribosomal RNA
Source: RNAcentral